UUACAACCAUAUCACGGUGAAACACCGGUUACCGUAAGAUCACCGAAGUUAAGCAAUAUCGAGUCUGGUCAGUACUUAGGUGGUUGACCGCUUUGGAAUACCAAGUCG
Acanthosepion pharaonis is the source of this 108-nucleotide non-coding RNA. NCBI's taxonomy places the organism in Eukaryota, Metazoa, Mollusca, Cephalopoda, Sepiida, Sepiidae. The record is from the annotation of a GenBank genome assembly.